AGUGAACGCUGGCGGUAGGCCUAACACAUGCAAGUCGAACGGCAGCACAGGAGAGCUUGCUCUCUAGGUGGCGAGUGGCGGACGGGUGAGGAAUACAUCUGAAUCUGCCCAGUCGUGGGGGAUAACGUAGGAAAACUUACGCUAAUACCGCAUACGACCUUCGGGUGAAAGAGGGGGAUCGCAAGACCUCUCGCGAUUGGAUUAGCCGAUGUCGCAUUAGCUAGUUAGGAGGGUAAUGGCCCACCAAUGCCACGAUGCGUAGCUGGUCUGAGAGGGUGAUCGGCCACAGUAGAACUGAGACACGGUCCAGACUCCUACGGGAGGCAGCAGUAGGAAAGCUACAGCAAUGGGCGAAAGCCUGACGGAGCAACGCCGCGGGAGUGAAGGAGGUCUUCGGAUCGUAAAACUCUUUUAUUAGACAAGAACAAAUGUGUAAGUAACUAUGCACGUCUUGAGGGUACCUAAUCAGAAAGCCACGGCUAACUACGUG
RNAcentral lists this ribosomal RNA (490 nucleotides) under uncultured bacterium. RNAcentral's name for it is "partial 16S ribosomal RNA". It matches the Rfam family "Bacterial small subunit ribosomal RNA", at positions 29 to 507 of the family's 1533-position model. The record is from RNAcentral.